UGCAAAGUUCAUGCUUGAAAACUGUGCAAU
Molecule: non-coding RNA, 30 nt
Filed under: Mus musculus (house mouse)
Lineage: Eukaryota; Metazoa; Chordata; Mammalia; Rodentia; Muridae
Source: RNAcentral